Molecule: long non-coding RNA, 480 nt
Organism: Mesoplodon densirostris (Blainville's beaked whale)
Lineage: Eukaryota; Metazoa; Chordata; Mammalia; Artiodactyla; Ziphiidae
Exons: 3
Source: RefSeq, a predicted model, not a curated record
CCAGGACUCAAAGCCGCCAACCCCAGCCUCCCGGCAAGCCUUGACUUCCCGGAUGGGGCCAUGCUUUUCUUCCAGGACAAUCAGGACUCCUCCCCUCCCGGCGAUCUUUCUAGGAGGCCACCUCCAGAGAUUCCGAGGCGAUUUCCUCUCUGUUGGUACUAAACUGGUAACUCCUCUCACUAAAAACACCAGGGAGAAUCACAAGCAGAGUAUUCAGCGAGGGGCCACCAUCAUCGAAAAAACCACAUAGUUCAAUAUGAGAAAAAUGAGAUAUUACAGGCUUGAAAUAACUUGCUCAAAGUCACCUAGUUGAAAACAGACUCAAAGAAGUGAUUUAUCUGAAGACACACAGUUAAUUAAUUGCAGAAUGAGAUCCAGAGAAGCACCUCCUGGUUCCUUGCCCAAUGUCCUUUCUACCCUCCAAACCACAGCAGUUCAGUCCAAGAGGAGUCAAAGAAUGUAAAUAAUUCAACAAUUACA